CACAAACUUGCCUUUAGCAUCAUCCUUUCCUCCAAUUCGACUUGUCUUCUCAACACAUAGUUCUUCGUUUUCAACCGUUGGACCAUCGAAGCGAACUCUGGAACGAGAGAUAUCUUGUGUGCACUGUAGCUGCGAAUUUAGGCUAGGAUUGUGCUUGGAAUGAAAGCGACUAAGGUAAGGGUUUUUCCCCAUACAUUCAUGCUACAUAGGGAUUUGUUGUGGAAUGAUAGUAAAGCCUUUAUCGCUUAAAAUGAACCCAAAGGAAUAGACUUAUAAAAAUAAACGAUAAUAAUCAAUAGAUAAUGCUUGUUAUGUGCAAUAAAUAUGUCGUGUUAUUAUGCUUGGAUUCAAUUAUGAUCAAAAUACUCUUUGUGUUGUUCUACAUAUAUGUUUUGGACUUAAGUU
Molecule: long non-coding RNA, 405 nt
Filed under: Trifolium pratense (red clover)
Lineage: Eukaryota; Viridiplantae; Streptophyta; Magnoliopsida; Fabales; Fabaceae
Description: long non-coding RNA (TPRA_LNC010163)
Source: RNAcentral